RNAcentral lists this ribosomal RNA (251 nucleotides) under uncultured prokaryote. RNAcentral's name for it is "partial 16S rRNA". It matches the Rfam family "Bacterial small subunit ribosomal RNA", at positions 525 to 775 of the family's 1533-position model. The record is from RNAcentral.
ACGGGGGUUGCGAGCGUUGUCCGGAAUUACUAGGCGUAAAGGGCAGGUAGGCGGAUAUAUAAGUUUGAUGUUAAAGGCGACGGCUUACCCGUCGUGCGGCAUUAGAUACUGUAUAUCUGGAAUGCGGUUGGGGAAGACAGAAUUCCUGGUGUAGCGGUGGAAGGCGCAGAGAUCAGGAGGAAUACCGAAGGCGAAGGCAGUCUUCUAAGCCGUAAUUGACGCUAAACUGCGAAGGUGUGGGUAUCAAACAG